CGUAGGUGGCAAGCGUUGUCCGGAUUUAUUGGGUUUAAAGGGUGCGUAGGCGGCCCUGUAAGUCAGUGCUGAAAUAUCCCGGCUUAACCGGGAGGGUGGCAUUGAUACUGCAGGGCUUGAGUAAAGUUGAGGUAGGCGGAAUUGACGGUGUAGCGGUGAAAUGCUUAGAUAUCGUCAAGAACACCGAUAGUGUAGACAGCUUACUAAGCUUUAACUGACGCUGAGGCACGAAAGUGUGGGGAUCAAACAGGAUUAGAUACCCUGGUAGUCCACACUGUAAACGUUGAAGACUCGCUGUUGGCGAUACACAGUCAGCGGCUGAGAGAAAUCGUUAAGUCUCCCACCUGGGGAGUACGCCGGCAACGGUG
This 368-nucleotide ribosomal RNA is filed under the name uncultured organism. RNAcentral describes it as "bacterial SSU rRNA". It matches the Rfam family "Bacterial small subunit ribosomal RNA", at positions 526 to 896 of the family's 1533-position model. The record is from RNAcentral.